UUGCACUGCAGUUGGGAAAGUUAUUUGUCGAGAAACUUUUUGCAUCUUUCUUUUCCUCUUGCUGCGGGCUUCUGCCUACAUAACUCUGCAAACUGCAAUGCUGGUUUCCUGUAAAAGCCAAGGGAUCGCCCGUAUGAGGCUGCCUGCAUUUUCUCUUCCAAGUCACCGUCCUCCAUGGUGCCUCAGGUUUUUGGUCCAGUAAAAUGGGCCUGAUCAUUCUGGCUGCUUUCCACACAUCUCUGUGGGAUGGAAUGGUGAGCACGUGACUGCCCUGACCCUGUCAUUCAUCCAAUACUUCCUUCGUCUUACACACGCUCUUAGGUGCCUCUUCCGUUCGGGGCGCUGAAGCUCCAAAGUCUAGCUCAUCAACAAAGCAAUAAUUUCCACCCUCGUUGUUAGCACUUGCUGACGGCCAUGGUGUGAACGCUCCCACAGGGAUGCUGUCCAGUUACGAAUAGGAGCGACUUUAUUGAAUUGGAAGUUGGAAGAUAUGUGAGGAGCACGCCUGUUAUAAUAACCUCACCAUACAGAGACAAUAAACUAAGCAAGCCCAAGAGCAUUGCAAAAUAUGUGACGUAAUCAGAAAAUGAUAUUUUGAGUGUUUGUCACCAACCUUGUAAUGUAAUUAUAAGCCUAUAAACUUAAUUUUUAUUGCA
Molecule: non-coding RNA, 656 nt
Organism: Sus scrofa (pig)
Lineage: Eukaryota; Metazoa; Chordata; Mammalia; Artiodactyla; Suidae
Source: RefSeq, a predicted model, not a curated record